This 10429-nucleotide long non-coding RNA is filed under the name Equus caballus (horse). Its description in RNAcentral is "lncRNA (ENSECAG00000051662.1)". The record is from RNAcentral. Lineage: Eukaryota; Metazoa; Chordata; Mammalia; Perissodactyla; Equidae.
CUCACUUCCCCCAGGGAACAUGGCCCUGGAGGGCAAUCAUUCCAAAGUCCAGCUGAAUUCACUCUCGGAUCCUAGCAGAGUCCUUGGUGACACAGAGCGGGAGAGGCGGUAGCAGCCUCGGGAAGACAGCCACGGGGCCAGGGCGUCCGGACAGGGCAGGUCCAGGCUAGUUGCCCUCUCGUCGUGCCUGCCCCUUCGUGUGCAAAGUAAGGAAGUCAGCAGGUGGCGAGGAAGGCUCCUGGGUCCAGGCGGGCGCACCGUCGUUUAGGAAGGCGACCGGCUGCACCCGCUGUCCAGGGGAAGAAAGAUCCAGCCAGGGGAUCAGAGCCUUGGUGCCUUGCGGUUACUAGGAUCCGGACCCUGAGCAGCCUCCUAACGCCUCCGACUCCUUUUACGCCCAGCUUGCCGCUCGAGGUCAGGAAGAGUCUUUGGGUCAGAGCGCAGUGUUCCCAGCGGCCAGGGACCCCCCUGCGUCAGGCCCGCCCUGCCCGGCUCGUACCGAUUGCUCGUGGCAGGACCGGGACACGGCGCCCGCCGGCCCUGGCUCGCUCCACCGCUACACCGGCCGCAUCUUCCAGGGCGCGCGGGCGUCGCGCAGCGAGCGGUCGUGGGGCAGCGCAGCGAAGGCCGAGUGGCGCAGCUGGCAGCCGAUGAAGAGGAUGACGAGCGCAACGGAGAGCAGCAGCAGGAAGAAGAGCAGCAGGUAGGUGGGCAGGUCGGGCUUUGCGGCCGCGCCGUCCCGCAUCCCGCGCGCGGUGGCCAGCUCCAGCGGCAAAGCGCCCUCUGCCUUGACCGUGGCUGCCAGGGCCAGCGCGCCGCCUACCGCCGCCUCGGGGCCGCCGGUGGCGUUGAACACGUCGCCGUACAUGGCCCGUGGGGCCGCCGACCCCGGCCCGGCCGCCUCACUUAGCCCUGCGCGGACCGGCGCCACCCGGCGCCUCCAUGGGGCGCCCCUCCCGCCCUGCUGCGCGCAACCGACCGGGAGUCGGUGCCUUCGGGUCAGCUGGGGCCGAGAGUCCCCGGGCCGCGGCCGCUCUCUCGCCUUCGCUCAGCUGCCUUCCCCGCGGGGCGGCGGACCCCAGGGCUCGGAGCUGGACGGCCCCGCGCCCGCGACCCUCGGGCCUUCCCUGUUUCUCGUCGGUUCCGAGUCACCCGUCUUGCGGUUUUACGGUCGCCCUCUCAGCUCGGACCCCCGGCUCGGGUGAGCUCCGGGAUCCGGGGCGCCUCUGGGCUGCAGCGGCGGCGAGAAGUGCCUGGCGAGUGCGGCCGCAGCUCGGGGUGCAGGCUCAGCGCCCGGACGCCCAGCGUACCGAGGGCGGAUGGCGGGAGUCCUCUGCGUCCUCCGCCGCCGCCGGUCUCCGGGCAGUCCUGCAGCCCGGAGUCCCUGUCAAGAUGCUCGGUGUGCAGCGAGCCUGUUCCACUAGCUUUGGCUGCUGCCCUCCUGUCUCGAGCAGGAGACUGAGCUCUGAGGCGGCUCUGAGCGCGCUCAGGUCCUGGGCGGGGGGCGGGACUGGCAGCGGCUGCCCCCGGGGAGCGGCUGCGAACCAAUGAGGGCGAGAGAGGACAGGGCUGCGACUGCCCCCGGCCCGGCCUCACAUCACUCACAGAGAGAGGGACACACAGAGAGAGGCAGGGAGAAAACACACAGGGUCACAGAAAGACUGACGGACAAAGAGACGGACGGUUACAGACCUAUGAGCAGAGACACGCAAAACAGAGACAGUUGUUGACAGCAAACCGACUCAGAGACAAGGCUCAGCCGGGCAUGGACACCUGCUUUCAUUCUUCUCCUUGACAUUCUCCCUCCAGGCGUAGCCUGGUUGGUUGGAGCCCCUCAGGCAGGGCACACUGCCUCCGGGGGAGGCCUGGGGCGAAGGUAGGGGGCUCCCGGACAGGCUGGGACUGGUUCCAAGUCUCAGGCUCCUCUCUUGCUGUGCCCUGAGGGCACACGUGCUUCCCCCACCGGGAGCUCCCUCGCUCAGCUCUCCUGGCCGGUUCCGCUCCGGCUCGGGAGGCAAGAGGAGGACAAGAUGCUGGCGAUGGCUUACCUGCCCUUUGCAGCCCUGGUGAAUGCUUGGGGGCCAGGGCAGAGGUGAGCAGUCAGCAGGACUGAGGGGGGGAUCUCCUUUUCCAAGAGUCCGAACUCCUGACUUCCUCUGAGAAGCCUCUGAAGCCCCCCAGGCUAGUAUGGGAGCCCCUGCCCUGGCUGCUGCAACCUCUGCUCUGCUCAGGAAGUACUGACCGCCCUGACUGUCCUCCCCACGAGAUUGAAGGAGGCGCUUACCCCCAGGGUCCUGCAGGCGCAGAGUCAGGAGCGAGGUGCCUCCGUCCAUUUUGCACCCUAGCGCCUCACCCCUCACCCUAGUCCCAGCAAUGCUGUCUGGUCUCUUGUCUGAGACCCCUGCAGGGUCAGCCAAGAUCAUGGCUGUGUCUCCCCCUUACCUCCUUCCCCACUCAAGGGGUGCAGAACCUGGGAGAGCUUGAUGAGUGCUGGCUGAAGGAACCGGGGGAAGAUGAGUUAGCGAUUGCCCUCUCCCUCACCGCACCUCACACCUGGCCACAGGCGCAACAAGGACAACCGAGGAGUGCCAGGCCGACCUCGGCCAGAGCUCAUUCCCACAAAUCCCAGCUGCCCAGGGGAAACACUUCUGCAAGCUCUUUGUCCAGUGUUGAAACUGUGUCCCCAAGUCAUGACCCCACAGAGAGUUUGACUGCUUGUUGAGUGAGGUGGAAAAUGCUCCGGAGGCCCACCUCAGUGUUUUCCUCUUAGUCUCGUGGAUGGGCCUGGGGGGCCUCCUUGGGCCGGAAGAGGCCCGUGUGUGUGGGUAUGGGGUGGACAGCAGGACCCGGCAGGACUCAGCAGUGCCCCAUCUACCCACCUGGUCCGGAAGAGCCGCCUAGUGUGCUCCAAGGGCAUAGGAGCCUGCGCCCCUCUGCCUGGCUGCUGCUUAGGCCACCCCCUCAUUUGCAGAUGGGAAAGCUGGCUCUGAGAGGGGCAAGGCCUACCCACAUCAGCACAGGCCAGCCGCCCAAAACAGUGAUGCAGCAGCCAUGGAAGGGGCCCACCAGCCGAACGCCAGGAGUCCCUUUCUCUGAAGGCCUGACUUAUUUCAGACAGCAUUUCACCCAGCCAGCAGGAUCCCAGGGGACAUUAUGUGACACGACAACAGGCUGUCUCAUGGACAUGUUCAGCCAAGGGGAGGGUUGCAGCCAUCUAAAAUACAUACGAUGAGGAAAAGCAUCAAACGGUUCUCAGUUUGUAGCUCAGUUUGGGGUUUGGCCUUGACUUUCCUCCAUGUGUUUAUAUGGGGAGUCACAUGGCCCACGGACCCCGCUUCCUCUCCGCUCCGCCCAGGAGAUCAGGUCAGACACCAGGCGAUGGCGGAAAGUCUGGGCAGCUCAGUUGGGAGGUCCUAAGUGGAGUCUGGGGCAAGCCUCAGCCUUUUGGGCUGUAAGAUGAAGGUUUACGGUGAGUGAUUUCUGGUCCUGCUCUGGAAAUGUGCUGUGAUCAUCCGAGGAGCAGGGGAGUCUGCAAAGGGUUUGGGGUGGAUGGAGGGCUCCUGCUGCUCCGUUGCUCAUGUGGGACAGGGGACAUCUCUGAACCUGGGGUCCCUGGCACUGCGCGUUCCUUCCUCGGAGCCCUACACUAAUAGCCAUUAUAGCACUACUCAACCUGCUUUUCAUCAGCACAUUGCAUUUUGCAGAGGUAGGACAGGCAAGGACUCGUGGCCUGUGAAUAGCAGAGCUAGGACUUGAACCUGGCAGCCAGGCUCCAGAGUCCAUGCACUUAACCCCUACAGGGACCACCUCUAAUGGCGGAGCAGUUCUAGUAGCUGCCAUGUGCAGACCUCCUUUCACAGCCAAGCCUGGCUUGGGUUUCAGCAUGACCUCUUUCUCCUCACAGCAACCUGUGAGAGAGCCACUCCAUUCUCCCAAGGAGGAAGCUGGAACCCUGAGAAGUGGGGUCACCUACCAAGGUCACACAGCUGGGUCACGUUGCCAGGGGGCCUCAGACUCCACUCCGCAGCCUGUGCUUGUCCACUCAGUCUAAAGCUGCUUUUUCUAAUGAGAGCAUAUGGUCAAAGCGCCUUUCCUUUUGGUAAAGUUGGAGGAGAUCUCUUGCCCUUUUUUGGGGGUCUUUUGGUCCCAAAGUGGGGAGAGCACUGUUUCUUUUCCAAAAGAUGUUCAGAGCCCCAAGAGGGCAGUCACGUUCCCCGAACAUCCCCCGGCAGGAAAUUAAACAAGGCUGAUGCUGAGUAAAUGCAGAGAUGAAGUUUACACAGCUUUUUACACAAACCAGAACGACCUUCCAUUAAGGGAGCUUUGUGUACCCACACAUUUAAGUCUCAGAAAAGAUUAUAAAGGGGCUUGGAGGUUGACUUUGACGGGCUGAGGUCACAGGGCUGGGACCCUGGAGCGACCUCUUCCCCAUUACAUGGUCACUGAGUGACACGUGUUCCUCCCCCACCGGCCUGUCUGUGGAGAGACCCAGAGAGGCCGGGCGAGCGUGCCUUUCCUGCCGCGAUGGGGCCAUUUGGCAGCUGUUUGAUGGAAAUUAGGGAGCCGGGGACCAUUAGGGCCCCAGCAUUUCAUAAACUAUGCCGCGCCGACCUGCGCUGCUUGGUGAAGCUAUUUCUGUUUCUUCUGCACGCUCGGGGAAUUAUCAUUAAGCCACUCAGCGUCACCAGGAGGCUGGGUGAAGAUCGAACUGCUGUCUGAGGUUGGAGCUGGUCGCAGCCGGAGUGGGUUUUCCCUGCGCACUGCGCACAUCCGGCUGCUGCCGCCGGCCCCGCUUCCUCUGUGAGCGCCGCCCGUGCCCUCGCGCAGACCUUUUUAUUUUUACCCUCGCCCCAGCAAUGUUGGUUUUUUUUUCUUUCACAGAUGGCUUUGGUAACCACAGUAGUUGGUUGGUGACAUAAGGUUGCAUGUUUGAAUGACCAUUUUAGGAACUAAAUAACAAGUAGGCCAAGCCCAGGCUCUGAAGUGAAGUGAUCUUCCAAAUGCAGAUAGGCAGCAGUGGGCUUGGAGAAUGGCCGGGUGGGGGCCUGCAGGGGUUGGAGUCUGGUUGGUGGAGCGGGGUCAGUGGAGAAAGGCUGGCUGUGAGGGAGAAGUAGCUCUGCAAGGAGAGUGCUCACGAAAGGACUCCUACCCCAGAAAGGGCAUCUCUGUUUCUGUCCUCUGAUCCCCAGGCCUGUGGGUGUCUUGCAGGAUCAGACGGUGGGACGGGACGGAGAGUCAGUAAUGCGAUCCACAAGGCUGCCUGGGUGGGGCUGGGAGUUCAGGAAGAGGGUGCAAACCUGGCUCUGCGGGCUGGGGCUGUUGGCUCUGACUCUGGUGAUAGGAUGACUCCGGGUGUGCCAUUUUUUGGACAAAGUCUCACUGGUUAGUCCCUCAACAUCUUUCUCCUUGGUCCCAAUGACAUAUGACUUUGCCUGCCUCUCUGGGUCCCUUUAGCUGUAUGGCCUCUAGCCAAGUGGGUCAUAGUGACACAAAGCUUGCUGGCUCCUGGGACUGAUAGCAGACUGAUUGCCACCCCCUGGGUGCGUCACCUAGCCUUCUCUGGGAAGGACAGAGGUUUGCGUGCUGGUGAAGAUGCACUGCCGCCUGGUCCUGAUCAGGGGAUUCGGGGUGGAGUCCCUGCGUGCUAAGGAGCAGGCCACCGCUCUGGCCAAGAGUGGGAGGUGGCCUGAGGCUGGGAUAGAGCCAGCAUGUGCCCAAAGGAGCAGGAGGACUUGGAACAGGACUGUUGUUUAUUUAUUUAUUUAUUUAUUUUUUCCGAGGAAGAUUAGCCCCGAGCUAACAUCUGCUACCAAUCCUCCUCUUUUUGGCUGAGGAAGACUGGCCCUGAGCUAACAUCUGUGCCCAUCUUCCUCUACUUUAUAUGUGGGACACCUGCCACAGCAUGGCUUGACAAGUGGUAUGUAGGUCAGUGCCUGGGAUCUGAACAAGUGAACCCUGGGCCACCAACGCGAAACGGGUGAGCUUAACUGCUGCUCCACUGGGCUGGCCCCCUAGGACUGUUGUUUAAAUCAGUAGCCAGGCUCGGGGGCACCUGGCAUCUGGCUGGGGUCCUCUGGUCCCUGUCCCUGUACUUCAAGGGAGGAAGAAUGAGAGCCAGAGCGGGUGCCUUGGGCCCAGAGGUGGAGAGAGGCAGCAAGGCAGGGAGAAAGUAUGUUUAGUCAAUUAAGAGGCCCCCCUCAACCCACGCCAUCUGUGGCACGGAUCAAGAGCUACUUCAUGGAAAGGUCAGGAAGAGCUGGUUCUGUUGUAGGAUUGCAUUUCCCGAGAUCUGGAAUGCACACUUCAAGUGGGGCGCAGUAUUAGUUUAGCUAGCAAAUGGGUACGUCAUUGAAUCACACAGUGAAAAAGUUACUGUCUUGUAAUCUCUUUUAAUGAUUCUGAUUAUGGCAAGAAGAAUAACCCAGUUUGGUCUCAUGUCAGUUCGGGUCCUCCGAGAAGCACGUGUGGGAGACUUAUUGGUGGAAACGCCAGCGGCGGAUAAAGGGUGUGGGAGGCGGAGUAGGCUGGGGGAGCCUUCGGAUCACAGUGCAGGUCUGACACCUGUGAGAGGAGAGAGGAAGGGAGGACCUGGUAGGAAGCACCCAAACUAGACAUGUGGCAGCCAGGCCAGCGGGCUUCCUGUUAGGAGAGCCCUGUCCGGCAGGGGGUGGGCAGCUGGCCGCAGUUUGGGGCUCAGUGGGUGGUCAAAAGUAGAGUGAUCUUUCUCUGCUGAGGCUGGGGCUGGUGACCCUUUGCAGAGGGCUGUCGAGGCCUGGAGGAAGCGGCAGGUGCCAGAGGUUGAAGUCACCUCUGCUCAGAAGCCCUCUCUCCAAGCCCUGGGCCUGGCUAACCCUUCCUCUCUGGCCUCUCUCCCGGGUGGGUGAGGCCCAGGCAGUCUCCAGCUGUUUACAGCUGGUUUUGACUGUGUGCCUCAGAUUCAAAAUCUUCCAAGGGUGAGAGGCUCACCUUUGGGUUUGCGCCUGUGAGUCUGGGCUGAGGUCAGGUUCCAGGGGCUCAGCCAGCCCCCCUUGCCUUGUUUCUGUGGUCAGUGGUGUAAGGUCCAUAUGUGUCCUGGGCUGUGUGUCGCGGCUGGACCUGCUCUCUCUCCUGGCAUUGGCAUUUCCACAGACACUGCUACUGCCCAGGCGCAGAGGCCCACUGCCCGACACGGAGACCGCAGCAGCCACCUGCCCUUCGCUGUCCCUCUGCAACCCAUCCUUAGGGGGAGAUGGAGGUUUUGUGGAGCCUGGAGCUUGUGCAUCUUAGGGGCCUUCUCUGAGAAUAACACCACAAAAUUAGGUUUUAAAGUGAAGAUUUAUUUAGAAAGAGAAACAGAAUCGAAAUAAAUUACGAAUUUUGAAAAGCUGACAAAGAUCCAAAACAUGGAAAAACAAUCCAGACUGGCUUCUGGCGCCAUACAUUUCAAACCCCAGUUCCCUUCCAUAGUCGCAUUCCCUGCUCCCAGGUGGUUAGCGACACUUGGUCCAGGGUACUCUGCUCGGGACCCUGCACCUUUGUGUCCUAAUACCAGUGAGCUGACACAGUGGGCGGUGGGAGCGUCCCUGGGAACCACAGGCGGGUGGCAAGCAGAACCAAAGCUCUAAGAGGCACCUCCAGCGCAGCCCUCUCUCAGCGGGGUGGCCCAAAUUUCACGGGCUCUUCAGCGCAGUUAGACCUGAGGAGAAGUGUGGCAGAGGGAAGUUGUAGUGGAAAACAGUAGUUUUACCUGAUAAAAUGCCUUACUUUUACAAAUUUUAUUAAAACACGUGACCAAGUGAACAGGAGUUGGGGCCCCUAAGUCUGAGCUGCAGUGACCUCACGGAAACCCACCUCCAUUGUCCUGGGCGCCCCCGCUGCCACAGGGAGCCCAGAUUAUCAUGGUCACUGUCUGAGUCAACCACUUACAUGGUUCCCACUGACCUUUUUAAAAAUAAAACACACUUCCCCCUAUUUUUAUCCUGGUUAUGAAAGCAGUAUUUCGUCAUUACUGGGAAAACAUAAACAAGGGUAAAAAAGAAAAUAAAAGUCAUCCAGGAGUAAACCCCGUAGGCAAGCAGUCACGAUUUGGAAUUCCGCUCUUCUCCCCUCCCCUACUAGGAGCUGAACAUGACGUUGCGGCAGAAAGGUUGGAGUGUCCAACAUCACCACAUAGGCUCGCUUUACACUCCUCAUUUCAGGCUGGCUGGUUGUUCUAGAGUAUCCUUGAUUGUCAGCCUCCAUCAUCGUUCCUACCCAGAUCCCUUUCUGGCUCAAAUGAGGGCCUGGCCAGCAGAUGAGGCACCGUGGGGGCUUUGAUAAGUGAGAUGCCCGUCUUGGCUCCAGCAUGUUUGAGCUGGUGGGGAGAGGUCUCUCCUUGCUCUCAGACCCAGGCCUGUGAGCCCGAGGUUCCCAAGAACUGACAGACUGAGGACUGGCCUGCUUCCAACUCUGUCAGGAAUGUCUGAUGUCUGGGGUGGGGGGAUCAGGCUUGGGGAGCGGGGGGCCUGCCACAAAAGAAGGACUGGGAAGGGCGCAUCGGGCAGCCUUCUUAGGGUUUAGGUAUGGCUGAACCCAUAUCUGAGAGAUACAGGGGAUGGCCCAGGCCACCUGUAACCCCACCCAUGCCAGAGGGCAGCACCAGCCAGAAAGUCUUGAUCUGAGUCAGCAAGAAGCUCUGGGAUUGGGGACCUGCAGGAAGAGUGUCACCAGCUCCCAUCUCCAGUACAUCCGUCUUGCAGCUGCCUGCAGAGUGAGGACUCUGGGCAGGCUGGGGAGCCUCAGCAGGGUCAGGCUUGAGCUCUGCCUGCAGAUUCUGCUCCUGAGCCGAGGUCCUGGGUGGGCAGUUAGAGGCCUGGCUGCCAUCUCAGGGGAUUAGUCCUGGCUCCACACAGACAGGCACCACCUCCCUACCCACCACCCUCCCCAAAGACCAGGCCAGCCUGCAAACCGGUCCUCCAGAGGAGGCUCAGCCUUCUCCAUGGAGGCCCCUGGUAGUUGGACCAGGCCUCCUGCACACCCUGUCUUCAUGGGCACAGGCCCUGAUGUCCCUUCCCAAGUUAACGGGAGGGUGGGACAGGAGAGACGUCCUCCUGACAGCGUUCACUCUUCAUGGCCCUCCCCCGACCUAUGCUUAAAAUAUAGAGAAGGGUCCAUCCUUGACUAGAAAAAGGAGGAAAAGUCCAAGUUUACAAAAUUUGGGAGCAUAUUCCUUCAGGUUUUGAAAUGAUGUUUUCAUUUUCUCCAAAGCUUUUAAAAAGACAAAACAAAAAACAACUUGGUUUCUCUCCCAUAAAAGUCUUGGGGAUCCCCAAAAUCUUAAUUUUGGAUAAGUCCCUCCCUGCAGCCAGUCACCCCUGCCCUGAGCCUUCCCCUUGGCCAGUGCCUGGGCGACAGCUCUCAUUUCUUUCCUGGUCCUUCCUGAACCUCUGCCACUGGGUGGUGCCGUCUUCUCCCACAGGGGAGUGGUGGGGUCACGAUCAGUGUCCCAGAGGCCAUGGGUAGAAGGGGCGAUGGGUGGGGGAGAGGGGCAGAGAAAGGCCCCCUAAACAAAGCAGGAGUAUGUUGGUCACGAAAAUCUCUGAGAGAGUAUCCUUUGUGCUCUGUCAGUUCUUGACAGGAAGGGAGGGACAAAUAUGCCCAUGGCCUGAUUCAUGAGGAAAUGUGAUUAUUUAAAAAAAGUCUUAAGUGAGAGAACUGAAGCUGUCCUUUAAGUGGCAUUUUAAAACUUAAAUUGGAAACUAGAUUAGCAUUGCCAUUUUAUGCGGAGGCAAUAGGAAUCUGACCUGUUCCUCCUCUUGAGCCCCGGCUCCCAGGUCAUAAGUUAGGGUGUCUCCAUCCUGGAAGGUUUCCUCUGGGGAGGCACGUGUGGUCCCUGUACCCAGAGCUGCUGGGGAAGGGGCUUCUCCGGCCGCUCCCUGUAGGCUGCCAGCCCGCUCGUCUCUGCUGGAUGACUCGGAAUGGAAUCCUUUGGCCCUUCUUUGAGACAGCCUUUAAGAUGACACUCCCCCAGAGAUGGUGUUGAGUGGAUGUUCUCAACAUCUCAACUAGAACCAAAUCGGGAAAACAAGAAGAUGUGUGGGGGUGUUAAGGGCAUUUUGAGAUGUGACAGUUGCCCAUCCAGCCCCACCUUGUCCUGAAUUCAUCCACCCAGGCAAGAAAGGCAGGGUCCCGCACUGGCCCCCAAAGGGAGCCAAGGCCGUGGGGCAGGUUCUCCAGGGGCUGGGACUCAGUUUCUACUCAUGGCACCUCCUCUCUCCCAGCCCCUUCAGAAUCACCUGGGGAGAUCGGGAGAUCGGCUAGUGGGAAAGUAACGUCCUAUUCUUCCCCACGGGAGUUUGGGGAUUAAGAUUGAUAUAAAUAUGCAAAUAAAACCACGAGUAAUACCCUCUAAUAAUGAUCCCUAUGGGUGGGAUUAAGGGCGAUUUCCAUUUUCUUCUUUUUGAGUGCCAAG